RNAcentral lists this unclassified non-coding RNA (421 nucleotides) under Hevea brasiliensis (rubber tree). Lineage: Eukaryota; Viridiplantae; Streptophyta; Magnoliopsida; Malpighiales; Euphorbiaceae. The record is from RNAcentral.
CUGCUUCCAUAAAUGUAACACUGAAUUCCUUGAGAAUAUUGGCAUGACUGUUUAAUCUCCUUCUCCAGGCAUGCUCUGGUGGGGCAGCACUUUCAAAAUCCAAUAAUUGCAAGGUAGUUCUGCUGACAUACUCCUCAGGCGGCCAUGAAUUCUUUCUACAGUGAAACAAAUUGGUAGUAACCAUCUCGAUAACUUCUCUCCGUUUUUGCCUCUCAAACUAACGUCAUAAAAUUAUAUGUGCAAAUUCCGUUUUUCUUCGAAGCUAAUGUAAAGCCAAACACUCCCUUUACCUACAAACAAAAACAAGUGUACACCAAAAUUCAAGUAAACUUCACUAUCGACAACAACAACGCCCAACGCUACCUUCCUUGAAGGAUUAUCUUCUCUCUUAGUUUUCUCUCUCUCUCUCUCUCUCUCUCUC